Molecule: ribosomal RNA, 321 nt
Filed under: Triticum aestivum (bread wheat)
Lineage: Eukaryota; Viridiplantae; Streptophyta; Magnoliopsida; Poales; Poaceae
Description: partial small subunit ribosomal RNA
Source: RNAcentral
AUGGGUAGUGUUCACGGUACUACUUGUGCCAGUGCUAUUGGUAACAAUAAGCAGGCUACGGUUUACAAGAAUCAUCAAACUAGUGGACAUAACUCUUGGCAGCAAAAAAGCAUUUUGGCGUCGGGUUAUUAUAAACUUGUGCAUGAUUGCUGUGCUAGGGAUGCAGAUGUACAUGCUAAGCCUAGAUGUACUCGUGGGCAUUUUUACGAGCAUGAUAAUCCAAGUGUCCCCCUUAGUGGUGGUGUCAUUUGGCAACUUCCAGAUUCCAGCAGCAGUGUUGCGUAUCGUGCUAGCAAUCUUGGGCCUUCAGCAUGUGCCUAA